UCUCGGUUACACACAGAGAAGCAAAACUGAGAGAUUGCAACAUAUCCACCUAGUGAGUCCACAGCCGAGCUGGACACAACACCCUACAGGUCUAAGUCCAACACACUCUUCACUAGUGCUGACUUAUCAGUCAGGACACUUUAUCUCAACCUUACUUCUCUAAAGCCUGUGCACACAACUGAAAAAUGAACGUGGACAGCUAGUCCCAACCAAAUCGAGACUGAGCUACGAGCAACUGUUAUGGCCUCAGCAAUAAAGAGGCUUAGAAUGUGGCCAGUGUUCAAGGGAAAAAGAGAGAUCUGACUCCAAUGCGGAACAGUAAGGACAACCGCUCUGAUGGGAAAGUGCAACUUGUGCUGUGCUCAUUUCAACAGCGAGAUGAACGCCAGGCAGUUUCCAUGUGGUAUGCAGCACAGACUCCUGUUCUUUGCUGCCAUCCACAAAGCCUUUGGGAUUUACUUUCCCUCCUUUUAAAGUAAGCUCUUCAGUACACCAAGUGAAUUCCAGACUAAUAGCAGGUUUCCGGCUGGCCAGGCAAGAGGCCCGUUCUGAGGCAAGCUGUGCAUUUGUUUCCCAUUGAAGACUCUACCUAUUUCAAGAGCUCUCAUAGGACAACAGAGAAGAUCAAAAGACAACAACGUGCCAAAUCCAUAAGCCAGAAUCCUCGGAGACCAUACCCAACUUACAGUGACUGCCAACGGUGGUAGAGGGAGGGGAUAACGCCUGAGAUUUCAAGGUUAGAGAGCUGUUUGGAGGAUAGGAUUCAUGACUAACAAAGAUCAACAAAACUCAGGACCUGAGAUUUGUGAUUUUUAAAAAACUUCCCCAUGAUUAAGUGCGUAUUUCCCUCCUUUGCGGGAUAUCAUACUUAUAAAACAAGGUUUGCUUUGUUCUGAAGAAAUAUUAGCACUAACUAGCCUAACUAACUAGAUGUUGGCUCUCUCUCUGUAGUUGCUGGAGUAGGGGGGCAGGAUCGGUACCAUCUUAAGGGCCACACAUAGCACUGAAAUUCUGUGCAAGCAGUAAAUCGUUAGAAUCUGUAUAUAUCACAGUUCCGAAAGUGCCUUAUUUCUCCAUCUCUCCUCCAUGUUCACAAAUAUGUCAUCUGAAGAAAUGCAAACAAUCUUAAAAAGACAGAGAGAAUAUUCACAACAACUAUGGCAUAUUAGAGAUGGAAAGUCAUGGAAGUAGACUGGAACCCAUCCACCCCCGCAACCUUUUUUAAACCCAUAACUUUAGUAGGGGGGUGAAAGAUUAUUACAAUUAUGAUCCAGGGAAUUUUAUAUCUACUUGACACAUUUUAAAUUUUUUUUGCUUGAUUUAUAUCCCACCUUUUCUCCCCAAUGCAUCUUACAUCAUUCUCCUCUCCUCGGUUUUAUCCUCACGACAACCCUGUGAGGUAGGUUAAGCAGAGAGAGCAUCACCCAGAAAGCUGCCAUGAAAAGAGAAAAGCAAUAGCAUAAAAAUGCCGGGCGCUUCAGAGAAACAAUGAACAAAGAAACGAAGCACUGCCGAAAGAGAAGUUUCUAGGAAAGAGCGGAGGCUACAGACGAGGCAGACGGCUCGGAGGAGAAUGGAAAGGAACAUCGCUGGGUUGGGUUGUGACACAAUUUAACAAGACUACAAAACAAACAUAAUGAAGAUAUGGAUUGCUGAACUGCCGUUUAUGGUCCAAGAGGUGGCAGGAAAUUCAAAUGCCUGGAGUAACACAGCAAUAGGAUGGAAGUCCAGCUGUUGGUGUGGAAUGAGAGGCUUUGUUCAGCACUGGAAGAUAGAAGUGGAAGACCCACACCAUCAGCCACCGUCAACGCAGAAGGAAGGUUGUUUGAAUACCCUCGUUUUCGGCCACCUGCCACAGAACAGUGUGAGGUGCUGGUACAGGCCGUCUUUCAUCCAGUUCCCAACGCUGGUUAUUGAUUUAUUUAAAACAGUAUAAUGCUGCCUUUCCACUCAACUUAUGGCCCCCAAGGCAGCAUAAGAACGUAAGAAGAGCCCUGAAGGAUCAGACCAUCUAGUCCAGCAUCCCAUCUCACACAGUCGCCAACGAGUUACUCUGGAGGGCCAACAACAUGGCAUGGAGGCCGAGGCCUUCCCCUGAUGUUACCUGCUGGCACUGGUAUUCUGAGGUUCACUGCCCCUGAAUGGGGAGGCUCCCUUUAGUCACUGUGACUAGUAACCACUGAUAGACCUCUCCCUCCAUGAUUCUGUCUAAUCCUCUUUUAAAGCUAUCUAUGCCUUGUAGCCACCACUGCAUCCUCUGGCAGUGAAUUCCACAUCAUCAUCAUCGAUUAAUAUACAGCCCUUCAGUACAACUUAAUGCCCACUCAGAGCGAUUUACAAAGUGUGUUGUUAUUAUCUUCAUGACAAUCAGCCUGUGAGGUGGGGGGGGGUGUUGAGUGAGCUCUGGAAGAGCUGUGACUGCUCCAAGGUCACCCAGCUGGUUUCAAGCGGAGGAGUGGGGAAUCAAACCUGGCUCUCCAGAGUCCUGCCACUCUUAACCACUUCACCAAACUGGCUUUCAUCUUAAUGUAUACAUCUCAUUCAUUCAUGUAUGCAGAAAUAUAUUCGUCUGCCCUGAAUCUAUUGCCCAUUAACUUCACUGGGCGGUCUCAAGUUCAAAUAUUUUGGGAGGAGGAAAACGUUCUCUCUGCUCUCUACACCCGGUGGAUAAUUUUAUAAACCUCUAUCACACCCCAGCCCUGUCAUCUCUUUUCUAAAAUGAAAAGUCCCAGACUCUUCAAUCUUUCCUCAUAGGAGAGAUGCUCCAGUCCCCCAAUCAUCUUGGUUGCCCUCUUUCAAAGCCUUUCAAAAGUCUAAGUAAAUAAUGACUUCCAGGUCGCUAUUACCUACAUACUUCUUUACGUUCUUAAAGAACUCCAAAAGGUUGGUGAAGGACUUCCCUUUGCAAAAGCCGUGCUGAUUUCCCCUCAGCAGGCUUUGUUCUUCUACGUGUCUGAUAAAUUCUACCUUUGAUUACAGUUUCUACUAAUUUGCCUGGGACAGAAUUUAAUCUAAUUGAUCUUUAAUUUCCUGGUUCCCUUCUGAACUCUUUUUUU
Eublepharis macularius is the source of this 3056-nucleotide long non-coding RNA. RefSeq lists it as uncharacterized. NCBI's taxonomy places the organism in Eukaryota, Metazoa, Chordata, Lepidosauria, Squamata, Eublepharidae. The record is from RefSeq and is a predicted model, not a curated record. The transcript has 2 exons.